UACAGAGGUCUCAAGCGUUGUUCGGAUUCAUUGGGCGUAAAGGGUGCGUAGGUGGCGCCGUAAGUCGGGUGUGAAAUUUCGGAGCUUAACUCCGAAACUGCAUUCGAUACUGCGGUGCUUGAGGACUGGAGAGGAGACUGGAAUUCAUGGUGUAGCAGUGAAAUGCGUAGAUAUCGGUAGGAACACCAGUGGCGAAGGCGGUCUCCUGGGGCAUUCUUGACGCUGAGGCGCGAAAGCUGGGGGAGCAAACGGG
RNAcentral lists this ribosomal RNA (253 nucleotides) under uncultured bacterium. RNAcentral describes it as "partial 16S ribosomal RNA". It matches the Rfam family "Bacterial small subunit ribosomal RNA", at positions 524 to 776 of the family's 1533-position model. The record is from RNAcentral.